UGUUGUUUUGGCAGAUAAAUGUAAUAAAUUUAGAAUUUAUAAAUGUAAAAUAUUUUACAAACAACAA
Molecule: transfer RNA, 67 nt
Filed under: Plerochila australis
Lineage: Eukaryota; Metazoa; Arthropoda; Insecta; Hemiptera; Tingidae
Description: tRNA-Leu
Source: RNAcentral